This 468-nucleotide ribosomal RNA is filed under the name uncultured bacterium. RNAcentral's name for it is "partial 16S ribosomal RNA". It matches the Rfam family "Bacterial small subunit ribosomal RNA", at positions 28 to 507 of the family's 1533-position model. The record is from RNAcentral.
GACGAACGCUGGCGGCGUGCUUAACACAUGCAAGUCGAACGGAAAGGCCCUGCUUUUGUGGGGUGGUCGAGGUGCCAACGGGGGAGUAACACGUGAGUAACCUGCCCCUGACUUUUGGAUAAAUUCAGGAAACUUGGGCUAAUACCGGGAAGGAGGUCCCGCUGCAUGGUGGGGGUUGGAAAGUUUCGGCGGUUGGGGGUGGACUCGCGGCUUAUCAGCUUGUUGGUGGGGUAGUGGCUUACCAAGGCUUUGACGGGUAGCCGGCCUGAGAGGGUGACCGGCCACAUUGGGACUGAGAUACGGCCCAGACUCCUACGGGAGGCAGCAGUGGGGAAUAUUGCACAAUGGGCGGAAGCCUGAUGCAGCAACGCCGCGUGCGGGAUGACGGCCUUCGGGUUGUAAACCGCUUUCGCCUGUGACGAAGCGUGAGUGACGGUAAUGGGUAAAGAAGCACCGGCUAACUACGUG